Molecule: unclassified non-coding RNA, 282 nt
Filed under: Hevea brasiliensis (rubber tree)
Lineage: Eukaryota; Viridiplantae; Streptophyta; Magnoliopsida; Malpighiales; Euphorbiaceae
Source: RNAcentral
AAAAUGUGGCUUCACCCAAAGUUAACAGUACACUCUUAAUCAUAGGACUUUUUAAUAAAAAGAAUCUGAAAGUGUAGAUCAGACAAGCUUGAAUGAAAUCAAUAAUUUAAAGACACUAUAAUAUUUUCUACUUUGCAAACUUCCUACAGUCCCUGGAUUCUUUAGAUGUCAAAGCAGAUUUCCAAUAACAUACAUCAAAAACAGAGCAGUUCAGAAUAUAUUCUUGACACAAACUAUUUUAUGUCCACAAGAACAUCACUGAAAAGCCCUAUAGUGAAAAUG